RNAcentral lists this transfer RNA (72 nucleotides) under Ovis aries (sheep). It matches the Rfam family "tRNA". From Rfam's summary of the family: Transfer RNA (tRNA) molecules are approximately 80 nucleotides in length. The record is from Rfam by way of RNAcentral. Lineage: Eukaryota; Metazoa; Chordata; Mammalia; Artiodactyla; Bovidae.
UCCCUCAUAGCUCAGUUGGUAAAGAAUCUGCCUGCAAUGUAGGAGACCUGGGUUCGAUUCCUGGCUUGGGAA